Molecule: long non-coding RNA, 489 nt
Organism: Cyprinus carpio (common carp)
Lineage: Eukaryota; Metazoa; Chordata; Actinopteri; Cypriniformes; Cyprinidae
Source: Ensembl
AUGGCCUGUGUUUCUCAGAUAGAGGAUGUGCUGAAGCCCGCCGAGCAGGGGAUUGUGGGAGUCACAGGGCUGCUGGAUGAGAUGCGCCCCCUGCUGGAUGACCUGAGGAAAGACGUGACGACGGGAACGACGCAUGCGAACGAAGCUCAGGAUCAGGCCGAUGCAGCUCAGGAAGAAGCCGAACAAGCGGCAGAGGAGCUGGAAGCACUGAAGGAGGAGUUAGAGCGAUUGAAGCGUGCGUCGGCUGAGAACACUGAGGCGGGUGAAGACUCCGCCCGCUUACAGGCGCUGCAGGGGGAGGCGGAGUCUCUCAUGACGGACACCAGCGACAUCAUGCAGGCUCUGAAAGAUAAGGAGGCAUCUGUUCAUCAAGGAGCGGCGGAGCUGCAGCAGAACGCUGAGCGACUGACCGGUCUGGACGAUCAGGUGAAGAAACUCCGAGACGACAUCCGCUAUAAAGUCAACAGUCUGAACAUAUGCCAGGGCUGA